This 855-nucleotide ribosomal RNA is filed under the name uncultured bacterium. RNAcentral describes it as "bacterial SSU rRNA". It matches the Rfam family "Bacterial small subunit ribosomal RNA", at positions 10 to 862 of the family's 1533-position model. The record is from RNAcentral.
AGUUUGAUCCUGGCUCAGAACGAACGCUGGCGGCGCGCCUAAUACAUGCAAGUCGAGCGAGAAGACGUAGCAAUACGUUUGUAAAGCGGCGAACGGGUGAGGAAUACAUGGGUAACCUACCCUCGAGUGGGGAAUAACUAGCCGAAAGGUUAGCUAAUACCGCGUACGCUCCUUGGACUUCGGUUCAGGGAGGAAAGCGAUACCGUGGGUAUCGCGCUCUUGGAUGGGCCCAUGUCCUAUCAGCUUGUUGGUGAGGUAACGGCUCACCAAGGCUUCGACGGGUAGCUGGUCUGAGAGGACGAUCAGCCACACUGGCACUGCGACACGGGCCAGACUCCUACGGGAGGCAGCAGUAAGGAAUAUUGCGCAAUGGGCGAAAGCCUGACGCAGCGACGCCGCGUGGGGGAUGAAGGUCUUCGGAUUGUAAACCCCUUUCGGGAGGGAAGAUGGAACGAGCAAUCGUUCGGACGGUACCUCCAGAAGCAGCCACGGCUAACUUCGUGCCAGCAGCCGCGGUAAUACGAAGGUGGCAAGCGUUGUUCGGAUUUACUGGGCGUACAGGGAGCGUAGGCGGUUCGGUAAGCCCUCUGUGAAAUCUCCAGGCUUAACCUGGAACAGUCGGAGGGGACUGCCGGGCUAGAGGACGGGAGAGGAGCGCGGAAUUCCCGGUGUAGCGGUGAAAUGCGUAGAGAUCGGGAGGAAGGCCGGUGGCGAAGGCGGCGCUCUGGAACGUUUCUGACGCUGAGGCUCGAAAGCGUGGGGAGCAAACAGGAUUAGAUACCCUGGUAGUCCACGCCUUAAACUAUGAAUACUAAGUGUCGGCGGGUUACCGCCGGUGCCGCAGCUAACGCAUUA